AAAAACCUGCGAACAUGGAGGAAAUUGAGGAAAACAUCUAUCUCCCUAUUAAAAGGGCGCAGCUAGCAGUUUUAAGGUCAAUUUUCAAUUAUAGCGUGCCGUACCUUAUAGGUUGGAAUGCAUUUGCAAGCACCAUAAAGGCAGAGGUAUAUAGUCAAAUGAACAGUGCCAACCCCAGAUACAGUGCAAACAAUGAAUGGAGCAGAUAAUGAUCAUCACUUCAUCACUUACUGUAGAUAGUUAGUUACAAAACUAUAUGCUACCUUCUCAACUUUGAAAUUUGUUGAAUCUUUUCAUUCUGAUAGCAUAGUUUUUUGAGAAAUUUUGAGUAUCAUUGUUAGAACACUCAUUUUUAAUUUAUUUAUUUACUUUGAUUCCUU
Non-coding RNA from Vigna umbellata (rice bean), 380 nucleotides. The record is from RefSeq and is a predicted model, not a curated record. NCBI's taxonomy places the organism in Eukaryota, Viridiplantae, Streptophyta, Magnoliopsida, Fabales, Fabaceae.